Molecule: long non-coding RNA, 2216 nt
Organism: Acanthochromis polyacanthus (spiny chromis)
Lineage: Eukaryota; Metazoa; Chordata; Actinopteri; Pomacentridae
Exons: 3
Source: RefSeq, a predicted model, not a curated record
AACACAGCAUAUUAGGAUCAGAUAUAAAGUGAAGGUAACAUAAGAUAAAAUAAGAAUAUAGAACAAAUAUACAAGAGUGAUCCAGAAAUGUGCAAAUGACAUAAAUAGAUGAGUUUACUGAUGUAAUGAAUGAUGUUAGAAUGUAAAGUGUCCGGCAUAUACAGGCUUUAAUGAGCAGACAGUGAGAGGGUCCUUCUGUCAUCUAUCAGACUGACUGAAGGACUUUCAUCUGACCGCCUCUUUCAGUGACAUUUUGAGACAAAUUCUCAGCCCGAAACAUUUAAUAAUGCUUAAAAUCAGGCACUGCUGACCGACUGUGCACUACAUUUGUGUAAUAUUGUAAAAUCAAACACUGUAUUUUCCAAUUUAAGAGACUAGACAGAUGCUGGAAACAGAAUGUGUUGAAUUGAAAAAGUGUGCAGACAAUAAAAAGGCAAUAUUGGUGUUAGUUAUACUGUGUUCUGAAAGAGUCAAUGGAAGCUUUUAAAUGGCCUCACAUUGAAGAGUAGUACUUAAUUUGCAAAGUAUUUGGAUCACUUCCUCAAGAAAUGAAGUUCAUUUGAUUCAGGGAAAGCCUUUAAAUCUUCUGUUCAGUUCCGAAGUUCAAAUGAAGACAGAGACGAGGAGAAAUGAUGUGAUGUUUGAGACUUCUUCCAGGAAAAGGCAUGAGGCAGUGCAGAGGAGCUGCAGCUUCUAAACACUCAAUUUUAAUUUGCUUCAUGUCGUCGUGCAGAAACCGCAGAGCUGUGAGUUUCAUUCUUAGUCCAUCCAGAGACCUGCAGCUUCCAGCGAAGCGCCUGGCAAACAUACAUGUUCACGUCUUCCGCUAGUUUAGCCCAGAAUAUAGCCCUACAGGCUAAAAUACAUCCCUUUUAAUAUGAGAUUACAUCAGCCAUAUGAAUUUCAUCUUAUUUAAGCACAAAUUAAUGAAAUUAAAUCAAAUAUUUUAGGCUAAAUGUAGCUGCAUAAUGGAUGAGUGGUUACAGUUAGAAGAUCCCCGGUUCAUGUCCCAGCCUUCCUGGAUCUUCCUGCAUGGAGUCUCCAUGUUCUCCUGUACAUGUGUGGCUUUUCUCCACGUUCUCCAGCUUCCUCCUCCACAAACAUGCUGAGGUUCUAAACUGUCUGUAGGUGUGAAUGUUUGUCUCUAUGUGCAGCCCUGUGAUGGACUGUUACCUGUCCAGAUUCAGCUGCUGCACAGCUUCUUUCUCACCUCAAAUGCUUUCAGAAAUACUUUUCGCUGAACUUUUUUGCGUAAUAAAAGUGAAAGUUUGUGGCCGUGUUAAGCAGACAGCUCUGGAGUCGUUUGUCCAAUCAGGGGCAGAUAGUUGGAGAAGAAGGAAGCAGGAGUUGAACAUCAGCUACUGGCCUCAAGGACACACCCAGCAAGAGGGAGAUUUUCAGAUGUGACGCGUUUACAUGCAGGAAAAACUCAUCUAGUGGACACACAGCGUCAGUCAGCUGGGACAGACUCCAGUCGUGACCCUAAUGAGGAUUAAACGGUGUAUAGAUGAUGGAUGGAGGAACUGAACAGACUGUGAACUUUCAAAAACACAAACUUUGAGUCGGCUGCACUGAUUGUACCCAAAACUCCUCCAAACAUACUAGAAAGUGGUGUUUUAGUGGUAGUUUAGUGGUGUUUUAGUGGUAGUUUAGUGGUAGUUUAGUGGUAGUUUAGUGGUGUUUUAGUGGUAGUUUAGUGGUGUUUUAGUGGUAGUUUAGUGGUAUUUUAGUGGUGUUUUAGUGGUAGUUUAGUGGUGUUUUAGUGGUAGUUUAGUGGUGUUUUAGUGGUAGUUUAGUGGUGUUUUAGUGGUAGUUUAGUGGUGUUUUAGUGGUAGUUUAGUGGUAGUUUAGUGGUAGUUUAGUGGUAGUUUAGUGGUGUUUUAGUGGUAGUUUAGUGGUAGUUUAGUGGUAGUUUUAGUGGUAGUUUAGUGGUGUUUUAGUGGUAGUUUAGUGGUGUUUUAGUGGUGUUUUAGUGGUAGUUUAGUGGUAGUUUAGUGGUGUUUUAGUGGUAGUUUAGUGGUGUUUAGUGGUAGUUUAGUGGUGUUUUAGUGGUAGUUUAGUGGUAGUUUAGUGGUGUUUUAGUGGUAGUUUAGUGGUAGUUUAGUGGUGUUUUAGUGGUAGUUUAGUGGUAGUUUAGUGGUGUUUUAGUGGUAGUGUUUUAGUGGUAGUUUAGUGGUGUUUUAGUGGUAGUUUAGUGGUAUUUUAGUGGUGUUUUA